This 328-nucleotide unclassified non-coding RNA is filed under the name soil metagenome. RNAcentral's name for it is "partial contains 5.8S ribosomal RNA, internal transcribed spacer 2, and large subunit ribosomal RNA". The stretch from base 1 to 120 matches the Rfam family "5.8S ribosomal RNA", at positions 35 to 154 of the family's 154-position model. The record is from RNAcentral.
GAUGAAGAACGUAGCGAAAUGCGAUAAGUAAUGUGAAUUGCAGAAUUCAGUGAAUCAUCGAAUCUUUGAACGCACAUUGCGCCCUUUGGUAUUCCGAAGGGCAUGCCUGUUCGAGCGUCAUUAUAACCACUCAAGCUCUCGCUUGGUAUUGGGGUUCGCGGUCUCGCGGCCCCUAAAAUCAGUGGCGGUGCCUGUCGGCUCUACGCGUAGUAAUACUCCUCGCGAUUGAGUCCGGUAGGUGACUUGCCAGCAACCCCCAAAUUUUUUAGGUUGACCUCGGAUCAGGUAGGGAUACCCGCUGAACUUAAGCAUAUCAAUAAGCGGAGGA